Molecule: ribosomal RNA, 330 nt
Filed under: uncultured Glissomonadida
Lineage: Eukaryota; Cercozoa; Glissomonadida
Description: SSU rRNA
Rfam family: Eukaryotic small subunit ribosomal RNA (bases 67-330)
Source: RNAcentral
GAUUUCUGGUUUGACGACAAUCUGGCCCGCCAGGUUCGCCUGUGUGUGUGCCGGGUUGCGUCUGCCAUCCUUCUAAGUUGCUGUUGGUCGCCCUUGAUUGGGUGUGCUGAUAGUGGCUUAGAUCGUUGACUUUGAACAAAUUAGAGUGUUUCAGGCAGGCUUUAUUGCUAUGAAUACAUGAGCAUGGAAUCAUCAGAUAGGGCUUCGGCUCUUGUCUGGUUGGUCAACAGAGCUGAGUCAUGAUGGAUAGGGAUAGUUGGGGGUGCUAGUAUUCAACGGCCAGAGGUGAAAUUCUCGGAUUCGUUGAAGACUGACUGAUGCGAAAGCAUU